RNAcentral lists this non-coding RNA (28 nucleotides) under Bombyx mori (domestic silkworm). Lineage: Eukaryota; Metazoa; Arthropoda; Insecta; Lepidoptera; Bombycidae. The record is from RNAcentral.
UGAUUGAGUGAUAGAUUGUAUGACAACU